CUAAGAAUAGUUUAGUUUAGAAUCCUAGCUUUGGGAGUUAGGGGUGGGAGUUAGAAUCUCCCUUCUUUGA
RNAcentral lists this transfer RNA (70 nucleotides) under Etheostoma variatum (variegate darter). RNAcentral describes it as "tRNA-Pro". It matches the Rfam family "tRNA". Rfam says of the family: Transfer RNA (tRNA) molecules are approximately 80 nucleotides in length. Their secondary structure includes four short double-helical elements and three loops (D, anti-codon, and T loops). Lineage: Eukaryota; Metazoa; Chordata; Actinopteri; Perciformes; Percidae. The record is from RNAcentral.